RNAcentral lists this ribosomal RNA (485 nucleotides) under Klebsiella pneumoniae. RNAcentral's name for it is "bacterial SSU rRNA". It matches the Rfam family "Bacterial small subunit ribosomal RNA", at positions 47 to 525 of the family's 1533-position model. The record is from RNAcentral. Lineage: Bacteria; Pseudomonadati; Pseudomonadota; Gammaproteobacteria; Enterobacterales; Enterobacteriaceae.
CCUACCAUGCAAGUCGAGCGGUAGCACAGAGAGCUUGCUCUCGGGUGACGAGCGGCGGACGGGUGAGUAAUGUCUGGGAAACUGCCUGAUGGAGGGGGAUAACUACUGGAAACGGUAGCUAAUACCGCAUAACGUCGCAUGACCAAAGUGGGGGACCUUCGGGCCUCAUGCCAUCAGAUGUGCCCAGAUGGGAUUAGCUAGUAGGUGGGGUAACGGCUCACCUAGGCGACGAUCCCUAGCUGGUCUGAGAGGAUGACCAGCCACACUGGAACUGAGACACGGUCCAGACUCCUACGGGAGGCAGCAGUGGGGAAUAUUGCACAAUGGGCGCAAGCCUGAUGCAGCCAUGCCGCGUGUGUGAAGAAGGCCUUCGGGUUGUAACGCACUUUCAGCGGGGAGGAAGGCGAUGAGGUUAAUAACCUUGUCGAUUGACGUUACCCGCAGAAGAGCCACCGGCUAACUCCGUGCCAGCAGCCGCGGUAAUA